This is a long non-coding RNA of Papaver somniferum (opium poppy), 3242 nucleotides long. RefSeq lists it as uncharacterized. Lineage: Eukaryota; Viridiplantae; Streptophyta; Magnoliopsida; Ranunculales; Papaveraceae. The record is from RefSeq and is a predicted model, not a curated record. The transcript has 5 exons.
AUCCCUUUUAUUCUUUUCUUAAAAUUAAGGGCGAUUUUAUUUAUCGGUUAGGGCAUCGCAAAAGUCUGUGAGAAAACUGAUUUCAGAGCUUUGGUGAUUGUCUCACACUACUAACAAGGAAUUCAACCAAAAUGGGUGAUUCAUCAAUGAAGAAAGGUUUUGAUUUGGUUCAGUUAACAUCUCCACUGAAGAAAGUUGGUGAUUUUGCUCGUGGGAAAUUGUCAUCUGAAGUUGAAACCCUAAAAAGGAGGAGAAAAAAGAUCCUUAUUAAGAUAUAAUUGCAUCUCAAAAAGAAACUCUUAAAACUCUUCAGCAAGGGGAAACUGCUAUUCAGAUCAUCUUAGGUGUGACUGCUGCUUCAAUGGCUUCGGUGGUUGUUUUAAAGGCUCUUGAGUUCUGAGCGUAAUUGAAGAUAGAAUUGUAAUUAUCAAGGUUAAGGUGAUAUAAUUAAAUUAAUCAGUUCAGAUAAUUUAUAAAAAUUAUUAGGUUUAGUUUUAGGAGGGAUUAGACCAACAAAAAAGGUUACAACUUCUGUUUUUAUGUAAUGUUGGUAUAUUAAGUUAAUGGAAAUUGGAUUUUUAUGGAAUUGGAUUGAUCUUAUGAGUCAUGACUACAAAUUUCCCCCUUCUACUAAUAUUUUUGUGCUUGAUUGUGUUGUAUGAUUGGAUUUUACCCAAAAGGAAUACCAAAGAUAAAUCAAUGAAUUUAAACUCCCUUUGGUAGUUGGAUCAUUUCACUCAUCUUGAAUUUAAACUUAUAAACCUUUUGACACAAAAUCUAUAAGUCUUUGCAUGUAUCAAUCCUAUGGAAUCUAUCACAAAACCUGAUCAUAGUAGGCUUUGGCCAAAUGAUGAAAUCAAUAAGAAAUAAAAAAUCAUGUUGACGAACAGUUAUAGCUGCAUAUGGGGUCGUUUAAAUUUGUGAAUCACUUCAACAGCUAUCAUUUUCAUUGAAAUGCUUUGAUGAAUGGCUUUCUUCUUACUACUCCAAUUUUUUUUUUUUUUUUUUGUGAAGUUGCUUUUUUCUGUGCUGCCCCAAUUUUAUAUUCGAAAUGGCGCCUCUAUUCUGAUCACUCUAGAUGUUUGUGUGUUUUGUGUUUCCUGAUAUUUUAGCUCAUUGUAAAACCUAAUUACAGUAGCAGGUAAUGACAAGAAUCCAAAAUUGUUUAAAGUUGCCUGAUGAACAAUUAUAGCAUCUUUGGAAUCUAAGGAUGAAGCAAUGGAGAUGCCUUUAGUAGCCUAUUCGAAAUCUUUGUUAUGCAGUAUUGCCAGCGUUGGAUGCAAGGUUUCAUCUGCAUCUUCUGUUCCAGAAGUGCAACUUCCAUAUCAUGUUGUUGUCCUCGAAAUGCUUGCUAUAAAUGCAGUUGCUUCAGCAGGUUUCAUAGGUUUAUCAGGAGAUGAAAAUCGAGGUCUUGUCCAAGGAACCUUCAGUCUGACAGGCUUCAGGGCCAUCUGACCCUUCUUGAUGAGUCUUUGAUUAAAACGAGAGGGUUGAUUUAUCCUCUAGUUUAGAAGGCGUCGAGCACUAAAAGCUUCUCCUGCCAUAAAGUCAACAAUUGAAAAAGUGAAGAACAGCAAGAGAGUCAUUUGUUGGUAAUGGAACUUGACGAAGAGUCCGAAGGACAAAAGAUACAGAAAGUUACCGCUUAGGCAGAGAAGAUCAGGCUUGCCAGAGAAUCUUAUGAAAGGGAGCAACAAAGAAUUAAUAGAGAGCUAGAAGAGAAGGAGAGAUGUAUGACACAAGGUCUUUACUUGUAAACGCAGAGAAAAACAGUAGCUGAAAGAGAAGAUCGGAUUUAGAAGAAGCUUCAGAAACUUGCUAAAACCGUGGAUUAACUGAAACGAGCAAGAAGAGAAGAGGAAGCCCCUAUUGCUGUUAAUUUCAUUAUAAUGCGCAUCAUUACAACCAUUUCUAUAUAUAUUCUAUAUGAAAGCGGUCCACAGUAUAUCAGUUGCUCUUGCCUGCGGCAUAUUUUGUUUUCUCGACACAUUGCCUCAUUUGCUCAUUUAAAACUACUCUGAUCCUGAAUUUGUUUCUUUGAGUGGGUCAUGAUGUUUCAUGUUCAUCCGCAGCAAGAGGUUGAGCUGGCCGGGGAACAACAUGUUGGAGACCUUCAGUAGAAGAAUAUGUUUCGAAGGAUGAUGGCGAAUGAGGUAUCAAGUGAUGAUGUAUCUUUUUGGGCGUAAACAUUCUCCAGGUUAGAAAGAGGGAUGAUCGUACUGCCCAAAAUCUUCAGGAGCACAGGAAACAAGAAAAAGGCGGAGAUUUUACUUGAGGUCCGAGGAGGAGAGACAGAAGAUUCCACACUGAAACAAAAGUGAUUCUUGUUUCUUAGUUAUAGUUAGGUCUUGGAACUUGGAAGACUUGAGGAGAAACCUAGCAAAUUGCCAACGAACUUGGCUUACGGCUGGGGCUAAACUUCUCCGAUUUUUUUUUUGUUAUAUGUUUUUUAUUUCUAACGUAUAGAAAAUGUUGUGUUUAUCUCAAGUUCUUGCAUGCAAUGGUGAGAUGAUCACAUCCCAAGCAUGGUUGCCAUAGUGUUUUCCUUUUCUCUUACAAUUUGGAAGCUAUCUGGGAUUUACAGACGCUGAAAGGGAAAGAAGAAUUAGUGAGAUAAACCAAGUUGGACGAGCUAGCCGAGGAGGAGGCCGAGUUUAAUAGAGCACACCACCUGUUCCUGCUGCUUCCGUACCAGGUGCUUGUACUUCCACAGGUGCACCUUGGACUACUGGUCCAGCACGGAAUAAGUAAGUACAUAGGUUCGAGAGGGCACAAUAUUGAGCUGCUGCGGCAACACUUUCAGAAUCUGAUUUGAUUGAUGGGGUUCGAGACAAGAAUAUCUGCAUCAACCUGCGAAUCCUUGAUAGAUAAGUUGCACUGUGAUAUAUGUCACUAGGUUCUGGGGACUAGCCUUAAAUGAGCACCCCUCAUCUAGACACAUUUGAACUGAAUCUCGCUUGACCCUCGUAAUAAUUUCAUAUUGAGAGAAAAGAAAAGCGGGAUAGAGAACUUUGUCUCUCAGAAACAUAAAGGAAAUUAUCUUAGUAGAAAUUACUUCCAGAGUUUCUUUCCUCCAGUACAGCAGUUGUAUUAUUAUACAAUUAGGGGGAUUUUGAUCCCAAACUCUACUCUUUUUUUUUUCCAACUCUAGCAGUUUUAGAAAGAAUAUUUGCUACUUUAUUCUUUUCCUUAGGCAUGUAAUGACAUUGCCAAGGAAUCUGAUUCACUAAAGAAAACUCUAA